AGUGAACGCUGGCGGUAGGCCUAACACAUGCAAGUCGAACGGCAGCACAGUAAGAGCUUGCUCUUACGGGUGGCGAGUGGCGGACGGGUGAGGAAUACAUCGGAAUCUACUUUUUCGUGGGGGAUAACGUAGGGAAACUUACGCUAAUACCGCAUACGACCUACGGGUGAAAGCAGGGGAUCUUCGGACCUUGCGCGAUUGAAUGAGCCGAUGUCGGAUUAGCUAGUUGGCGGGGUAAAGGCCCACCAAGGCGACGAUCCGUAGCUGGUCUGAGAGGAUGGUCAGCCAAACUGGAACUGGGACACGGUCCAGACUCCUACGGGAGGCAGCAGUGGGGAAUAUUGGACAAUGGGGGCAAGCCUGAUCCAGCCAUACCGCGUGGGGGAAGAAGGCCUUCGGGUUGUAAAGCCCUUUUGUUGGGAAAGAAAAGCAGCAGGUUAAUACCCCGCUGUUCUGACGGUACCCAAAGAAUAAGCACCGGCUAACUUCGUGC
This 493-nucleotide ribosomal RNA is filed under the name uncultured bacterium. Its description in RNAcentral is "partial 16S ribosomal RNA". It matches the Rfam family "Bacterial small subunit ribosomal RNA", at positions 29 to 508 of the family's 1533-position model. The record is from RNAcentral.